This 449-nucleotide ribosomal RNA is filed under the name uncultured bacterium. RNAcentral's name for it is "bacterial SSU rRNA". It matches the Rfam family "Bacterial small subunit ribosomal RNA", at positions 29 to 524 of the family's 1533-position model. The record is from RNAcentral.
AACGAACGCUGGCGGCAGGCUUAACACAUGCAAGUCGAGCGCCCCGCAAGGGGAGCGGCAGACGGGUGAGUAACGCGUGGGAAACUACCCUUUGGUACGGAAUAACACAGAGAAAUUUGUGCUAAUACCGUAUGUGCCCUUCGGGGGAAAGAUUUAUCGCCAUAGGAUGUGCCCGCGUCGGAUUAGCUAGUUGGUAGGGUAAUGGCCUACCAAGGCGACGAUCCGUAGCUGGUCUGAGAGGAUGAUCAGCCACACUGGGACUGAGACACGGCCCAGACUCCUACGGGAGGCAGCAGUGGGGAAUAUUGGACAAUGGGGGGCAACCCUGAUCCAGCCAUGCCGCGUGAGUGAUGAAGGCCUUAGGGUUGUAAAGCUCUUUCACCCACGACGAUAAUGACGGUAGUGGGAGAAGAAGCCCCGGCUAACUUCGUGCCAGCAGCCGCGGUAAU